RNAcentral lists this ribosomal RNA (353 nucleotides) under uncultured organism. RNAcentral describes it as "bacterial LSU rRNA". It matches the Rfam family "Bacterial large subunit ribosomal RNA", at positions 2099 to 2465 of the family's 2925-position model. The record is from RNAcentral.
CUUUACUAUAGCUUGGAAUUGUGUUCGGGCUUGCUGUGCGCAGUAUAGGUGGGAGGCGUUGAAGGUAUCCUUGUGGGGAUAUUAGAGCCAACAGUGAGAUACCACUCUCAGAAAGCUAGAAUUCUAACUCGAAAGAGGAAAGUUUCAGGUGGGUAGUUUGACUGGGGCGGUCGCCUCCAAAAAAGUAACGGAGGCGUACAAAGGUUACCUCAGACUGGUUGGAAAUCAGUCGAAGAGUGCAAAAGCAGAAGGUAGCUUGACUGCGAGACGGACAAGUCGAGCAGGGUGGAAACACGGUUUUAGUGAUCCGACGGUGCCGAGUGGAAGGGCCGUCGCUCAACGGAUAAAAGUUA